This 450-nucleotide ribosomal RNA is filed under the name uncultured bacterium. Its description in RNAcentral is "bacterial SSU rRNA". It matches the Rfam family "Bacterial small subunit ribosomal RNA", at positions 354 to 796 of the family's 1533-position model. The record is from RNAcentral.
GUGGGGAAUAUUGGACAAUGGGGGCAACCCUGAUCCAGCAAUGCCGCGUGGGUGAAGAAGGCCUGCGGGUUGUAAAGCCCUUUCGAUGGGAAAGAAAAGCUCAGCGCUAACACCGCUGAGUAUUGACGUUACCCAGAGAAGAAGCACCGGCAAACUCUGUGCCAGCAGCCGCGGUAAUACAGAGGGUGCAAGCGUUAAUCGGAUUUACUGGGCGUAAAGCGCACGUAGGCGGUUCGUUAAGUCGGGUGUGAAAUCCCUGGGCUCAACCUAGGAAUUGCAUUCGAUACUGGCGGACUAGAGUGUGGUAGAGGAUAGUGGAAUUCCAGGUGUAGCGGUGAAAUGCGUAGAUAUCUGGAGGAACAUCAGUGGCGAAGGCGGCUAUCUGGACCAACACUGACGCUGAGGUGCGAAAGCGUGGGGAGCAAACAGGAUUAGAUACCCGGGUAGUCC